Molecule: long non-coding RNA, 291 nt
Filed under: Manihot esculenta (cassava)
Lineage: Eukaryota; Viridiplantae; Streptophyta; Magnoliopsida; Malpighiales; Euphorbiaceae
Description: long non-coding RNA (MESC_LNC004505)
Source: RNAcentral
CCGGUAGUUGUGAAUAACAGCUUCAAUGACAAGGGCGUCAUCGUGAGGCAUCUGAACACCCUGAGCAUCCUCCGAGGAGAAAGUGAUGGUUGUUGAAGAGUGUUCAACGAUUUGCAUGACCUCAGCACUGCUAGUUUCUCCUUCUCUGCUUCUCUUUUUCCCUCUUCGGCUCAUCCGACCUCCCGUGCCUCCUACGAUCAUGUUGAUAGUUCCACUGGACCCGUCAUUCACAGUGUUAGCCCCUGUUCUUCUCGGCGUUUGGGCUGCCGAAUUGGGUUGAGGUCUCUGUCC